RNAcentral lists this long non-coding RNA (221 nucleotides) under Erythranthe guttata (spotted monkey flower). RNAcentral's name for it is "long non-coding RNA (EGUT_LNC003178)". Lineage: Eukaryota; Viridiplantae; Streptophyta; Magnoliopsida; Lamiales; Phrymaceae. The record is from RNAcentral.
ACCCUAAUUUUUAUUUUUCUUCAUCAACCCUACCUACAAGUUUCCGCCUGUACUUUUCUUGUGAACCCUAAUUUUAUUUAUUCCCAAGUUUCUUGAUUAUAUCUAUCAAUAUAUAAAUAUGUAUGUAUAUAUAGAUAUAUGGAUAAUCCAUUUUCAUAAUAUAUAUUGUGUAUUUCUUACCUAAUUAGUUCUGAUUUUUCUGCAGAUUUUGUGAGAAGUCC